This 981-nucleotide ribosomal RNA is filed under the name Listeria monocytogenes. RNAcentral describes it as "bacterial LSU rRNA". It matches the Rfam family "Bacterial large subunit ribosomal RNA", at positions 296 to 1273 of the family's 2925-position model. The record is from RNAcentral. Lineage: Bacteria; Bacillati; Bacillota; Bacilli; Caryophanales; Listeriaceae.
UGUAGGACACUCUAUACGGAGUUACAAAAGAAAGUUAUAAAUGAAGCGGUCUGGAAAGGCCCGCCAAAGACGGUAACAGCCCGGUAGUUGAAAUGGCUUUCCCUCCAGAGUGGAUCCUGAGUACGGCGGAACACGUGAAAUUCCGUCGGAAUCCGGGAGGACCAUCUCCCAAGGCUAAAUACUCCCUAGUGACCGAUAGUGAACCAGUACCGUGAGGGAAAGGUGAAAAGCACCCCGGAAGGGGAGUGAAACAGUUCCUGAAACCGUGUGCCUACAAGUAGUUAGAGCCCGUUAAUGGGUGAUAGCGUGCCUUUUGUAGAAUGAACCGGCGAGUUACGAUUUGUUGCAAGGUUAAGCGGAAAAAGCGGAGCCGUAGCGAAAGCGAGUCUGAAUAGGGCGCAUAAGUAACAGGUCGUAGACCCGAAACCAGGUGAUCUACCCAUGUCCAGGAUGAAGGUAAGGUAAUACUUACUGGAGGUCCGAACCCACGCACGUUGAAAAGUGCGGGGAUGAGGUGUGGGUAGCGGAGAAAUUCCAAUCGAACUUGGAGAUAGCUGGUUCUCUCCGAAAUAGCUUUAGGGCUAGCCUCGAGGUAAAGAGUCAUGGAGGUAGAGCACUGUUUGGACUAGGGGCCCUUCUCGGGUUACCGAAUUCAGAUAAACUCCGAAUGCCAUGUACUUAUACUCGGGAGUCAGACUGCGAGUGAUAAGAUCCGUAGUCGAAAGGGAAACAGCCCAGACCACCAGUUAAGGUCCCCAAAUAUAUGUUAAGUGGAAAAGGAUGUGGGGUUGCUUAGACAACCAGGAUGUUGGCUUAGAAGCAGCCACCAUUGAAAGAGUGCGUAAUAGCUCACUGGUCGAGUGACCCCGCGCCGAAAAUGUACCGGGGCUAAACAUAUUACCGAAACUGUGGAUGAACCUCUUUAGAGGUUCGUGGUAGGAGAGCGUUCUAAGGGCGGUGAAGUCAGACCGGAAGGACUGG